CAGCCGCCGCGGGAAUACGAAGGGUGCGAGCGUUAAUCGGAAUUACUGGGCGUAAAGCGUGCGCAGGCGGUUGUGUAAGACAGGUGUGAAAUCCCCGGGCUUAACCUGGGAACUGCGCUUGUGACUGCACAGCUAGAGUAUGGCAGAGGGGGGUGGAAUUCCACGUGUAGCAGUGAAAUGCGUAGAGAUGUGGAGGAACACCGAUGGCGAAGGCAGCCCCCUGGGCCAACACUGACGCUCAUGCACGAAAGCGUGGGGAGCAAACAGGAUUAGAUACCCCUGUAGUCCCUGUCUCUUAUAC
Molecule: ribosomal RNA, 301 nt
Filed under: uncultured bacterium
Lineage: Bacteria
Description: partial 16S ribosomal RNA
Rfam family: Bacterial small subunit ribosomal RNA
Source: RNAcentral